GACAAACGCUGGCGGCGUGCCUAAUACAUGCAAGUAGAACGCUGAAGAGAGGAGCUUGCUCUUCUUGGAUGAGUUGCGAACGGGUGAGUAACGCGUAGGUAACCUGCCUUGUAGCGGGGGAUAACUAUUGGAAACGAUAGCUAAUACCGCAUAACAAUGGAUGACACAUGUCAUUUAUUUGAAAGGGGCAAUUGCUCCACUACAAGAUGGACCUGCGUUGUAUUAGCUAGUAGGUGAGGUAACGGCUCACCUAGGCGACGAUACAUAGCCGACCUGAGAGGGUGAUCGGCCACACUGGGACUGAGACACGGCCCAGACUCCUACGGGAGGCAGCAGUAGGGAAUCUUCGGCAAUGGGGGCAACCCUGACCGAGCAACGCCGCGUGAGUGAAGAAGGUUUUCGGAUCGUAAAGCUCUGUUGUAAGUCAAGAACGAGUGUGAGAGUGGAAAGUUCACACUGUGACGGUAGCUUACCAGAAAGGGACGGCUAACUACGUGCCAGCAGCCGCGGUAAUACGUAGGUCCCGAGCGUUGUCCGGAUUUAUUGGGCGUAAAGCGAGCGCAGGCGGUUUGAUAAGUCUGAAGUUAAAGGCUGUGGCUCAACCAUAGUUCGCUUUGGAAACUGUCAAACUUGAGUGCAGAAGGGGAGAGUGGAAUUCCAUGUGUAGCGGUGAAAUGCGUAGAUAUAUGGAGGAACACCGGUGGCGAAAGCGGCUCUCUGGUCUGUAACUGACGCUGAGGCUCGAAAGCGUGGGGAGCGAACAGGAUUAGAUACCCUGGUAGUCCACGCCGUAAACGAUGAGUGCUAGGUGUUGGAUCCUUUCCGGGAUUCAGUGCCGCAGCUAACGCAUUAAGCACUCCGCCUGGGGAGUACGACCGCAAGGUUGAAACUCAAAGGAAUUGACGGGGGCCCGCACAAGCGGUGGAGCAUGUGGUUUAAUUCGAAGCAACGCGAAGAACCUUACCAGGUCUUGACAUCCCGAUGCUAUUUCUAGAGAUAGAAAGUUACUUCGGUACAUCGGUGACAGGUGGUGCAUGGUUGUCGUCAGCUCGUGUCGUGAGAUGUUGGGUUAAGUCCCGCAACGAGCGCAACCCCUAUUGUUAGUUGCCAUCAUUCAGUUGGGCACUCUAGCGAGACUGCCGGUAAUAAACCGGAGGAAGGUGGGGAUGACGUCAAAUCAUCAUGCCCCUUAUGACCUGGGCUACACACGUGCUACAAUGGUUGGUACAACGAGUUGCGAGUCGGUGACGGCAAGCUAAUCUCUUAAAGCCAAUCUCAGUUCGGAUUGUAGGCUGCAACUCGCCUACAUGAAGUCGGAAUCGCUAGUAAUCGCGGAUCAGCACGCCGCGGUGAAUACGUUCCCGGGCCU
This 1369-nucleotide ribosomal RNA is filed under the name uncultured bacterium. RNAcentral describes it as "bacterial SSU rRNA". It matches the Rfam family "Bacterial small subunit ribosomal RNA", at positions 28 to 1381 of the family's 1533-position model. The record is from RNAcentral.